CCGCUUGUAGAAUCACAACUUUGAAAUCAUCAAAACGUCCCUGUAGGAUCAAGAUCAUUUACUCUAAAAUAGGUAAAAUUUGAGUACAAUUACACCCUCAAAUCAGACCACAAAGGAUUAUGGAUUCAAGCUUCAAAAGAAGAAUUAAUCAUGAAAUCAAAUUGAACUUACAAAAACCUAGAUGAGGAAAUAAUUCCCACGAACUCUCCAGCCCACCUUUCACUCCC
Molecule: long non-coding RNA, 227 nt
Filed under: Capsicum annuum
Lineage: Eukaryota; Viridiplantae; Streptophyta; Magnoliopsida; Solanales; Solanaceae
Description: long non-coding RNA (CANN_LNC015730)
Source: RNAcentral